RNAcentral lists this ribosomal RNA (440 nucleotides) under uncultured bacterium. Its description in RNAcentral is "partial 16S ribosomal RNA". It matches the Rfam family "Bacterial small subunit ribosomal RNA", at positions 338 to 795 of the family's 1533-position model. The record is from RNAcentral.
CCUACGGGAGGCAGCAGUGGGGAAUAUUGCACAAUGGGGGAAACCCUGAUGCAGCGACGCCGCGUGAGUGAAGAAGUAUCUCGGUACGUAAAGCUCUAUCAGCAGGGAAGUAAAUGACGGUACCUGACUCAGAAGCCCCGUCUAACUACGUGCCAGCAGCCGCGGUAAUACGGAGGGGGCAAGCGUUAUCCGGAUUUACUGGGUGUAAAGGGAGCGUAGACGGGAGCAUAAGUCUGGAGUGAAAUUCGGGGGCUUAACCGCGGAACUGCUUUGGAAACUGGGCGGCUGGAGUGCAGUAGGGGUAAGCGGAAUUCGUGGUGUAGCGGUGAAAUGCGUAGAUAUUAGGAGGAACACCGAUGGCGAAGGCAGCUUACUAAACUGUAACUGACAUUGAGGCUCGAAAGCGUGGGGAGCAAACAGGAUUAGAUACCCGUGUAGUC